GAUGAACGCUGGCGGCGUGCCUAAUACAUGCAAGUCGAGCGAACAGACGAGGAGCUUGCUCCGCUGACGUUAGCGGCGGACGGGUGAGUAACACGUGGAUAACCUACCUAUAAGACUGGGAUAACUUCGGGAAACCGGAGCUAAUACCGGAUAAUAUAUUGAACCGCAUGGUUCAAUAGUGAAAGACGGUUUUGCUGUCACUUAUAGAUGGAUCCGCGCCGCAUUAGCUAGUUGGUAAGGUAACGGCUUACCAAGGCAACGAUGCGUAGCCGACCUGAGAGGGUGAUCGGCCACACUGGAACUGAGACACGGUCCAGACUCCUACGGGAGGCAGCAGUAGGGAAUCUUCCGCAAUGGGCGAAAGCCUGACGGAGCAACGCCGCGUGAGUGAUGAAGGUCUUCGGAUCGUAAAACUCUGUUAUUAGGGAAGAACAAAUGUGUAAGUAACUAUGCACGUCUUGACGGUACCUAAUCAGAAAGCCACGGCUAACUACGUG
Molecule: ribosomal RNA, 497 nt
Filed under: uncultured bacterium
Lineage: Bacteria
Description: partial 16S ribosomal RNA
Rfam family: Bacterial small subunit ribosomal RNA
Source: RNAcentral